UUCUUUUUAAAAUUUCUUUAUUUAAUAUUUGAGUACACUGUAGCUGUCUUCAGACACACCAGAAGAAGGCAUCAGAUCUCAUUACAGAAUGAGAAUUUUGUGGUUGUUGGGAAUUGAACUCAGAACCUCUGGAGGAGCAGCCAGUGCUCUUAACCACUGAGCCAUCUCUCCAGACCCCAUACAGUUCUUUAAAAUCUAAAAAUAAAUGUCAAAAUUAGACCCCUCACAUUGUUAUUUAAAACUACUCAAGGAAAGCAAACACCACAUAUUAAUAUCUUUUAUUAUCAGACUUUGUGAGCCAAGAGACAUUGCUUCCCUUAGCUGUCUGUGAGGGAUAAGGCCAAGGUAACUUCUUUCUUUGUGAGUAGGCUCAUUUGGCCCACCUUUAUAUUCUUUCCAUAUAAAAAUAAAAGUCCGAGUCCAGAUUCUUCUUCUGGUUACAACUGCUGUCACUUACAGGUGCUGUGUUCAGUUCACCUUUAUGAACUAGGGACAAAGCAAUGUGUAAAUUCCAUUAAAGCCUCAGCAUUUGUGUUGGGGCCCCUUAGAGAUUUGCUUGAGGGGUACAGAGUUUGGGAAUGCAGCAGCUUCCCCCCACAUUCAACAUGGUUAUAUUUGCAAUCUAGCCAGAGUGAUGAUACAAGUUUCCCUUCAAAGACAAAAAAAAAAAAAAAAAA
This 677-nucleotide long non-coding RNA is filed under the name Rattus norvegicus (Norway rat). RNAcentral's name for it is "long non-coding RNA NONRATT016198". Lineage: Eukaryota; Metazoa; Chordata; Mammalia; Rodentia; Muridae. The record is from RNAcentral.